GUGCGUGUAGCUUAAUGGUAGAGCCUCCGCCUUCAUAAAGUUAUUGCUUCCUGAAAGCGGACGAUGCGCGUUCGAAUCGCGUCACGCACU
RNAcentral lists this transfer RNA (90 nucleotides) under Rhodospirillales bacterium. RNAcentral describes it as "tRNA-OTHER". It matches the Rfam family "tRNA". Rfam says of the family: Transfer RNA (tRNA) molecules are approximately 80 nucleotides in length. The record is from RNAcentral. Lineage: Bacteria; Pseudomonadati; Pseudomonadota; Alphaproteobacteria; Rhodospirillales.